GGGGGUGUAGCUUAGCGGUACAGCAUGUGCUUCACAUGUACGAGGCCCUGGAUUCAAUUCCCAGCACUUCCU
This 72-nucleotide transfer RNA is filed under the name Loxodonta africana (African savanna elephant). It matches the Rfam family "tRNA". Rfam says of the family: Transfer RNA (tRNA) molecules are approximately 80 nucleotides in length. Their secondary structure includes four short double-helical elements and three loops (D, anti-codon, and T loops). Further hydrogen bonds mediate the characteristic L-shaped molecular structure. tRNAs have two regions of fundamental functional importance: the anti-codon, which is responsible for specific mRNA codon recognition, and the 3' end, to which the tRNAs corresponding amino acid is attached (by aminoacyl-tRNA synthetases). tRNAs cope with the degeneracy of the genetic code in two manners: having more than one tRNA (with a specific anti-codon) for a particular amino acid; and 'wobble' base-pairing, i.e. permitting non-standard base-pairing at the 3rd anti-codon position. Lineage: Eukaryota; Metazoa; Chordata; Mammalia; Proboscidea; Elephantidae. The record is from Rfam by way of RNAcentral.